CUGAACGCGGGAGGCUCUGACGCGUGGCCGUGCCCACGGCCGCUCGGACUGUGCGGAGCCACUGGCAAGACCGACCCGCGCGGUG
Molecule: non-coding RNA, 85 nt
Filed under: unclassified sequences
Description: c-di-GMP sequence
Rfam family: c-di-GMP-II-GAG riboswitch aptamer
Source: Rfam by way of RNAcentral